GGGAGGAGGGGGAGAGGGCAAGGGGAGGAGGGGAGAGGGCAUAGAUACAGAAUGAAUGGAUAGAACUACUGUACUGUAGAUACAGAAUGAAUAGAUAGAACUACUGUAGAUACACAAUGAAUAGAUAUAACUACUGCAGAUACACAUUGAAUAGGUAGAACUACUGUAGAUACACAUUGAAUAGGUAGAACUACUGUAGAUACACAAUGAAUAGGUAGAACUACUGUAGAUACACAUUGAAUAGGUAGAACUACUGUAGAUACACAUUGAAUAGGUAGAACUACUGUAGAUACACAUUGAAUAGGUAGAACUACUGUAGAUACACAUUGAAUAGAUAUAACUACUGCAGAUACACAUUGAAUAGAUAUAACUACUGCAGAUACACAUUGAAUAGGUAGAACUACUGCAGAUACACAUUGAAUAGAUAUAACUACUGCAGAUACACAUUGAAUAGAUAUAACUACUGCAGAUACACAUUGAAUAGAUAGAACUAGUGUAGAUACACAUUGAAUAGAUAUAACUACUGUAGAUACAGAAUGAAUAGAUAUAACUACUGUAGAUACACAUUGAAUAGAUAUAACUACUGUAGAUACACAUUGAAUAGAUAUAACUACUGCAGAUACACAUUGAAUAGAUAGAACUAGUGUAGAUACACAUUGAAUAGAUAUAACUACUGUAGAUACAGAAUGAAUAGAUAGAACUAGUGUAGAUACACAUUGAAUAGAUAUAACUACUGUAGAUACACAUUGAAUAGAUAUAACUACUGUAGAUACAGAAUGAAUAGAUAUAACUACUGUAGAUACACAUUGAAUAGGUAGAACUACUGCAGAUACACAUUGAAUAGAUAUAACUACUGCAGAUACAGAAUGAAUAGAUAUAACUACUGCAGAUACACAUUGAAUAGAUAUAACUACUGUAGAUACAGAAUGAAUAGGUAGAACUACUGCAGAUACACAUUGAAUAGAUAGAACUAGUGUAGAUACACAUUGAAUAGAUAUAACUACUGUAGAUACACAUUGAAUAGAUAUAACUACUGUAGAUACAGAAUGAAUAGAUAGAACUAGUGUAGAUACAGAAUAGUUACACUACUGUAGAUACAGAAUGAAUACCUAGAGCUACUCUACUGUAGAUACAGAAUGAAUACCUAGAGCUACUGUACUGUAGAUACAGAAUGAAUAGCUAGAGCUACUGUACUGUAGAUACAGAAUGAAUAGCUAGAGCUACUGUACUGUAGAUACAGAAUGAAUAGCUAGAGCUACUGUACUGUAGAUACAGAAUGAAUACCUAGAGCUACUCUACUGUAGAUACAGAAUGAAUACCUAGAGCUACUGUACUGUAGAUACAGAAUGAAUAGCUAGAGCUACUGUACUGUAGAUACAGAAUGAAUAGCUAGAGCUACUGUAGAUACAGAAUGAAUAGAUAGAACUACUGUAGAUACAGAAUGAAUAGCUAGAGCUACUGUAGAUACAGAAUGAAUAGAUAGAGCUACUGUAGAUACAGAAUGAAUAGCUAGAGCUACUGUAGAUACAGAAUGAAUAGCUAGAACUACUGUACUGUAGAUACAGAAUGAAUAGCUAGAACUACUGUACUGUAGAUACAGAAUGAAUAGAUAGAACUACUGUAGAUACAGAAUGAAUAGAUAGAACUACUGUACUGUAGAUACAGAAUGAAUAGAUAGAACUACUGUAGAUACAGAAUUAAUCGCUAGAACUACUGUAGAUACAGAAUUAAUAGAUAAAACUACUGUAGAUACAGAAUUAAUCGCUAGAACUACUGUAGAUACAGAAUGAAGAGAUAGAACUACUGUAGAUACAGAAUGAAUCGCUAGAACUACAAACAGACUAAGCAUGUGGUCUAACAAGACCUAUAAAAAGCAUUAACACACAUUGCUGACUUCUUUUCAACAAAGUUUAUUUUUUAUUUUUUAAACAAAUACAUCCUUUUUGUUGAACAGCAAAGCCUCCAGCAUUGAAUUACAAGAACGAACAUGCUGACUACACCGGGCACGCGCUUGCAUCCACGUGCACAUUGCACGCAUGUUGAUUUUGUCCAACCACACCAGACACAAUCAGGACACGCAGGUUGAAAUAUCCAAACGAACUCUGAACGAAUUAUAUUCAUUUGGGACAGGUCGAAACACAUGAAACAUUCAUGGACAUUUAGCUAGUUCAUUUGUCCUGGGAUAAAAUUAAACACUGGGUUGUUAUUCUACUUGAAAUACACAAGGUCAAUUUUUUCCUGGAUCUUUGUAGAUUAUUUUUUAUGUUCUCUACUCUGACAGUUAAUCCAGAGAUAAAAGGGGAAGUUAGUGUCUAGUAAUCUCUCCUCCUUCAGUUUUCUUCUUUGGACUUUAUAUGGCGGUUGGCAACCAACUUUAAGGUGCAUUACCACCACCAACUGGACUGGAGUGUGGACCUCAGUUGCUUUCAAUCACCCAAGUGGGUAGAUGCUCCUAACAACCAAUGAGGAGAUGGGAGAGGCGGGACUUGCAGCGCAUUCAGCAUCACAAAUAGAACUAGGUUCUAUUUCAGCGCCUGGCUAUGCAGACGUUGACGUGCGCAAGCAGUUUGGAUGUAAUUAUUGAUUAACAUGCAUUUAUUCCGCAAUGUGAGCGGUGUGGUCAGCAUGCACAACCCACUUAAGACACAAAAUCCCCAUUUCAUGAAUAUAUUAAAAUAUAUCAAAACUU
This is a long non-coding RNA of Oncorhynchus tshawytscha (Chinook salmon), 2689 nucleotides long. NCBI's taxonomy places the organism in Eukaryota, Metazoa, Chordata, Actinopteri, Salmoniformes, Salmonidae. The record is from Ensembl.